Molecule: long non-coding RNA, 1268 nt
Filed under: Nicotiana tabacum (common tobacco)
Lineage: Eukaryota; Viridiplantae; Streptophyta; Magnoliopsida; Solanales; Solanaceae
Description: long non-coding RNA (NTAB_LNC011193)
Source: RNAcentral
CUUACUUUAGUUUCGUUGCAUGUGCUUGUUGACACAAUUUUUAUGUUAUAAACGGUGUUCGUCUUAUUUUAGCUUCUUUUUGUCAUAUUAGUAGGCGUGUUUAUAGCAAUAUACUUUCCGUGGAAUCCCGCAAUUUUUUUAUUGGUGUAAUCGAUAACCGAAUCGAUAAGCCCCAAAAAUCGAUAAAUCGAAAUCGAAAAAAUCAAAACCUUAUUGAAACGAUAACGAUAAGCAUAUGUACAAAUCGAUAAUCGAUAAGUAAUGUUCGAUAAGGGUCAAAAUUGAAUCGAUAAAUCGAAUGCACACCCCUACGCCUGAUUACCAACAUUUGAAUUAUAUUCCUUCCCUCUGAAACUUGAAUUAUUUUCCCUUUGUUUUCCAGGUGGGCGCCUGACUGCUAAACUCGACCCGCUUUCCUUUGAAACCGUUUUCCCUUGAAACUUGAACUGUCUUUCCUUGUUCUCCAAGUGGGCGCCUAAUUACAACACAACAGACAAAACAAAAGAAAUUUUUCUGCCCCAGUUUGCACUAGGAAGAUUUGUGAGUUGUUAGUAGAACUAUAAAUCACCUACGCUACUGAUGAAGGAUGCAAUGAUGAGAGUAAAAUUAAUGACUCGACUAGGAUGUGCGUCUCCUAAACGUGAUUGAACUUGCGGAAAACUAUAAACUAAGCUUGACUAAAGUAAAGACUGACCCUAUUUUCCGGGCGGGAUCCCUGGUUUCAAGAAAACUAGACAUUGAUAACUUAAAAAAAAACUAAAAAUUGACCCCUCUUUUUUUUUCAAAUUCAGACUUCCCUUUUUUUUAAAAUUAUUAUCCCAGGAGAAAAUUCAUCAGACUAGGUUUUCUAUCUUAGGGGAAAGAUUCAUCAAACUAAGAUUUUGAUCCUAGGAGAAAAUUCAUCAGACUAGGCCUCUUUUCUACUUCUUUUUUGGUAUCUUAGGAGAAAGAUUCAUCAGACUAAGAUUUUGAUCCUAGGAGAAAGUUCAUCAGACUAGGUCUCUUUUCUACUUAUUUUUUGGUAUCUUAGGAGAAAGGUUCAUCGGACUAAGAUUUUUAUCAUUGGAGAAAGUUCAUCAGACUAGGUCAUCUAUCUUAGGAGAAAGAUUCAUCAGACUAUGAUUUUGAUCCUAGGAGAAAGUUCAUCAGACUAGGUCUCUAUCUUGUUAUCUUAGGAGAAAGGUUCAUCAGACUAAGAUUUGAUCCUAGGAAAAAGUUCAUUAGACUAGGUUUUCUAUCUUAGGAGAAAUAUUCAUCAGACUAAGAUU